RNAcentral lists this ribosomal RNA (459 nucleotides) under uncultured bacterium. RNAcentral describes it as "bacterial SSU rRNA". It matches the Rfam family "Bacterial small subunit ribosomal RNA", at positions 355 to 804 of the family's 1533-position model. The record is from RNAcentral.
UGGGGAAUUUUGGACAAUGGGGGCAAGCCUGAUCCAGCCAUGCCGCGUGUGUGAAGAAGGCCUUCGGGUUGUAAAGCACUUUUGUCCGGAAAGAAAAGCUUUGGGUUAAUACCCCGAAGUCAUGACGGUACCGGAAGAAUAAGCACCGGCUAACUUCGUGCCAGCAGCCGCGGUAAUACGAAGGGUGCAAGCGUUACUCGGAAUUACUGGGCGUAAAGCGUGCGUAGGUGGUUCGUUAAGUCUGAUGUGAAAGCCCUAGGCUCAACCUGGGAAUUGCAUUGGAUACUGGCGAGCUAGAGUGCGGUAGAGGAUGGUGGAAUUCCCGGUGUAGCAGUGAAAUGCGUAGAGAUCGGGAGGAACAUCUGUGGCGAAGGCGACCAUCUGGGCCAGCACUGACACUGAGGCACGAAAGCGUGGGGAGCAAACAGGAUUAGAUACCCUGGUAGUCCCUGAGCGGGC